This 609-nucleotide ribosomal RNA is filed under the name Listeria monocytogenes. RNAcentral describes it as "partial 23S ribosomal RNA". It matches the Rfam family "Bacterial large subunit ribosomal RNA", at positions 683 to 1288 of the family's 2925-position model. The record is from RNAcentral. Lineage: Bacteria; Bacillati; Bacillota; Bacilli; Caryophanales; Listeriaceae.
CUGAAUAGGGCGCAUAAGUAACAGGUCGUAGACCCGAAACCAGGUGAUCUACCCAUGUCCAGGAUGAAGGUAAGGUAAUACUUACUGGAGGUCCGAACCCACGCACGUUGAAAAGUGCGGGGAUGAGGUGUGGGUAGCGGAGAAAUUCCAAUCGAACUUGGAGAUAGCUGGUUCUCUCCGAAAUAGCUUUAGGGCUAGCCUCGAGGUAAAGAGUCAUGGAGGUAGAGCACUGUUUGGACUAGGGGCCCUUCUCGGGUUACCGAAUUCAGAUAAACUCCGAAUGCCAUGUACUUAUACUCGGGAGUCAGACUGCGAGUGAUAAGAUCCGUAGUCGAAAGGGAAACAGCCCAGACCACCAGUUAAGGUCCCCAAAUAUAUGUUAAGUGGAAAAGGAUGUGGGGUUGCUUAGACAACCAGGAUGUUGGCUUAGAAGCAGCCACCAUUGAAAGAGUGCGUAAUAGCUCACUGGUCGAGUGACCCCGCGCCGAAAAUGUACCGGGGCUAAACAUAUUACCGAAACUGUGGAUGAACCUCUUUAGAGGUUCGUGGUAGGAGAGCGUUCUAAGGGCGGUGAAGUCAGACCGGAAGGACUGGUGGAGCGCUUAGAAG